Molecule: ribosomal RNA, 477 nt
Filed under: uncultured bacterium
Lineage: Bacteria
Description: bacterial SSU rRNA
Rfam family: Bacterial small subunit ribosomal RNA
Source: RNAcentral
GGCUCAGAUUGAACGCUGGCGGCAGGCCUAACACAUGCAAGUCGAGCGGGUUUCGGACCUAGCGGCGGACGGGUGAGUAAUGCGUAGGAAGCUACCCGAUAGAGGGGGAUACCAGUUGGAAACGACUGUUAAUACCGCAUAAUGUCUACGGACCAAAGUGUGGGACCUUCGGGCCACAUGCUAUCGGAUGCGCCUACGUGGGAUUAGCUAGUUGGUGAGGUAAUGGCUCACCAAGGCGACGAUCUCUAGCUGGUUUGAGAGGAUGAUCAGCCACACUGGAACUGAGACACGGUCCAGACUCCUACGGGAGGCAGCAGUGGGGAAUAUUGGACAAUGGGCGCAAGCCUGAUCCAGCCAUGCCGCGUGUGUGAAGAAGGCCUUCGGGUUGUAAAGCACUUUCAGCGAGGAGGAAGAGUUGUGUGUUAAUAGUACACAGCUUUGACGUUACUCGCAGAAGAAGCACCGGCUAACUCUGUG